UAUGAUGAAACUGCGAAKAGCUUAUUAAAUCAGUUAUAGUUUAUUUAAUAAGUUAAUAAAAAUAAUAAAUGGAUAACUAUAGUAAUUCUAAGGCUAAUACAUGUUUAAGUUUUAAAUAAAAAAUUUAUAAUUAAAAAUAAAAUAAGUAACGUAUGCUUUUGCAUGAUAUAAAUAUUGAAUAAUUUUAAUUAAAUGAAUUWAAAAAAAUAAUAAAUUAAUUAUGUUUUUGACCUAUCAGCUUUAAUAAUAAGACCYUGGCUUAAUAUAAUUAYGACGGGUAACGGAGGAUUAGAGUUUGGUUCUGGAGAAAAAGCUUGAGGAAUAGCUAUUAUAUCUARGGAAAGCAGCAGGCGCGUAAAUUAUCCAAUUUUAAUAAAAAGAGGUAGUGAUAAGGAAUAACAAUACAAAAUAUAAUAAUUGUUUUGUAAUUGGAAUGAAAUUAAUAUAAAAAUAUUUUUAAAUUAUAAUUAGAGGGCAAGUCUGGUGCCAGCAGCCGCGGUAAUUCCAGCUUUAAUAAUAUAUAUUAAUAUUGUUGUAGUUAAAAAGCUCGUAGUUGCAGUUUUGAUAAUAAUAGAAUUUUUUUUAUAUAAAAGUUAUUUUAUAAUUGUUAUAAUUAUAUAAGAAAUUAUAUGUGUUUGUAUAGUAAUUUUUUUAUUUUAUUUUGAGGAAAUUAGAGUGUUUUAAGCAUGAUUUUUCAAUUGAAUAAUGGAGUAUGGAAUAUUAAAAAUGUAAUAAAAUUUAUUUAUAUGUUGGUUUUAAAGUGUUAAUUAAUAAUUUCUAAGAAUAGUUGGGGGUAUUUGUAUUUAACAGCAAGAGGUGAAAUUCUUAGAUUUGUUGAAGAUAAAUUAUUGUGAAAGCAUUUAUWAAAAAUAUUUUUUUUAAUUAAGAACAAAAGUUAGGGGAUCGAAGACGAUCAGAUACCGUCGUAGUCUUAAUUAUAAACUAUGCUGAUUAGAGAUUAGAUGUUUUUAAAUAAAUGAUUUGUUUAGUAUUUUUAGAGAAAUCGAAGUUUUUAAGUUUUGGGGGGAGUAUGGUUGCAAGAUUGAAACUUAAAGGAAUUGACGGAAAGGCACCACCAGAAGUGGAGUUUGCGGUUUAAUUUGACUCAACACAAGAAAUUUUAUUAGGUCUAGACAUAUGAAGGAUUGACAGRUUAAUAGUUUUUUUUUGAUUUUAUGGGUGGUAGUGCAUGGCCGUUCUUAGUUGGUGGAGUGAUUUGUCUGGUUAAUUCCGUUAACGAAYGAGACUUUAAUUUAUUAAAUAGGAAAAAUAAUAUUGUUAUAUUUUUACUUUUAAUGUUUUUUAGAUGGAUUUUAUAUAUAUAAUUUAAGGAAGUUUAAAGUAAUAACAGGUCUGGAAUGCUUUUAGAUGUCCUAGGCUACACGCGUAUUACAUUAAUGUGAUUAAAUAGUUUAGAACUAUAAUUGUUAUAUUUUGGUAAUCUUGUAAUAUACAUUGUAAUUGGGAUAGUGUAUUGUAAUUAUUAUUYUUAAACGAGGAAUUUCUAGUAAAUACAAGUCAUAAACUAGUGUUGAUUAUGUCCCUGCCUUUUGUACACACCGCCCGUCGCUCCUACUGAUUGAAUGAAUUGGUGAAUGAAUUAGAAUGUGUGUAAAUAUAUUUU
Molecule: ribosomal RNA, 1624 nt
Filed under: Aggregata octopiana
Lineage: Eukaryota; Apicomplexa; Marosporida; Aggregatidae
Description: partial 18S ribosomal RNA
Rfam family: Eukaryotic small subunit ribosomal RNA
Source: RNAcentral